This 605-nucleotide ribosomal RNA is filed under the name Staphylococcus aureus. RNAcentral's name for it is "partial 23S ribosomal RNA". It matches the Rfam family "Bacterial large subunit ribosomal RNA", at positions 1601 to 2207 of the family's 2925-position model. The record is from RNAcentral. Lineage: Bacteria; Bacillati; Bacillota; Bacilli; Caryophanales; Staphylococcaceae.
CACACUGCCGAGAAAAGCCUCUAGAUAGAAAAUAGGUGCCCGUACCGCAAACCGACACAGGUAGUCAAGAUGAGAAUUCUAAGGUGAGCGAGCGAACUCUCGUUAAGGAACUCGGCAAAAUGACCCCGUAACUUCGGGAGAAGGGGUGCUCUUUAGGGUUAACGCCCAGAAGAGCCGCAGUGAAUAGGCCCAAGCGACUGUUUAUCAAAAACACAGGUCUCUGCUAAACCGUAAGGUGAUGUAUAGGGGCUGACGCCUGCCCGGUGCUGGAAGGUUAAGAGGAGUGGUUAGCUUCUGCGAAGCUACGAAUCGAAGCCCCAGUAAACGGCGGCCGUAACUAUAACGGUCCUAAGGUAGCGAAAUUCCUUGUCGGGUAAGUUCCGACCCGCACGAAAGGCGUAACGAUUUGGGCACUGUCUCAACGAGAGACUCGGUGAAAUCAUAGUACCUGUGAAGAUGCAGGUUACCCGCGACAGGACGGAAAGACCCCGUGGAGCUUUACUGUAGCCUGAUAUUGAAAUUCGGCACAGCUUGUACAGGAUAGGUAGGAGCCUUUGAAACGUGAGCGCUAGCUUACGUGGAGGCGCUGGUGGGAUACUACCCUA